UAUGGCGGCAUGCUGGACGGCGGCACGUACGAAUUUGAUGCGCCCGACGGAAUGGACAGUCCCCCGCCGCCCACUUUAGGCAUGCGCGCUGCGAUGGCCUGGAGGAAGAAGGGCAAGCAGACGGUCUGCGAGGAAACGGACGAUAAUGUC
This 150-nucleotide small RNA is filed under the name uncultured eukaryote. RNAcentral's name for it is "partial Betaproteobacteria transfer-messenger RNA". The record is from RNAcentral.